GUAUUUAUAGCGGAUUUAGUGAGCGUAUACGGAACCAUACUCGACAGUCGACACCGAAUCGGGCACCGUGUCCGUGUACUCGUUUCCGGCGCGCGCCGCCUCCGACUCCGACACCGAGAAGGCGGAGCGGAAGACGGCCGAGGGCGAGGAGAAGCGCGCCCGCCGCGAGGCCCGGAAGGUGGGCGAGGAGAACGACAUCGACGCCAUUCUCAGGAGCAUUCAAAAGGAGGAGGCUAAGAAGAAGGAGGUACAUGUGGAGGAGAAUGUCCCUGCACCAUCUCCCCGGUCUAAUUGCUCGCUUACAAUAAAUCCAUUGAAAGAUACAUAAUUGAUUAUGUAUGGAGGAGAGUUCUAUAAUGGCA
This is a long non-coding RNA of Oryza brachyantha (malo sina), 362 nucleotides long. RefSeq lists it as uncharacterized. The record is from RefSeq and is a predicted model, not a curated record. The transcript has 3 exons. Lineage: Eukaryota; Viridiplantae; Streptophyta; Magnoliopsida; Poales; Poaceae.